This is a long non-coding RNA of Anopheles stephensi (Asian malaria mosquito), 677 nucleotides long. RefSeq lists it as uncharacterized. The transcript is spliced from 2 exons. The record is from RefSeq and is a predicted model, not a curated record. Lineage: Eukaryota; Metazoa; Arthropoda; Insecta; Diptera; Culicidae.
CAAUUUUGUAACCGGGAGGAAAAUUGGGAACCUUCAAUAAAUGACGUGAUAUGUUCAACACAUUUCCUAGAAAAUGAUUAUCUAAUGCCAAUUAAUAAUUUGGUUGGUGCUAAAGUGUCUCGAAGACUUCUUCUUCCUAAUGCUAUUCCAACAAUUAAAACUGCAUUGCAUACUGCAAUGAGUAAUCAACAGGAGGAAGAUUUGGAAAACUUUCCUCCCUUAACAUCUAUUCCUGUUACGGCAAGCAAUGAUGCAUCCGUAAGCACAACGCAAUCCACGAACACAAACAAUUCUCAGGAAAUACAGAAACUUAGAGAAGCUAAUUUGCGAUUAAAAGCAACCUUAAACUACGUUACUUCUGAAAAUUUUAAACUAAAACAAAAAGUUUUAAAUUUAGAAAAGGAACUUAACUUUUUGAAGAAUUCUUGCAUCCAUCCGAACGAUCUGAUUGACAAAAUGAAAAACCUUUUACAAGGCACACUAUCAUCAAAUCAGAUUGCUUUGAUUACGGAAGAAAAGAAACUAGUAGUAAGAUACAAUGUGCAGUAACAAGAGUAAUGAACACAAUGUGAUCAACUUUAAUGAAGCCAAAUUAUAAAUAUUAACAUAAGUUUACAAACAAGUUUUCCUAUAUACUAAAGCAGAGAGCAAUAAGAGCCGGUCUCUACAUAUCUCAA